This 498-nucleotide ribosomal RNA is filed under the name uncultured bacterium. Its description in RNAcentral is "bacterial SSU rRNA". It matches the Rfam family "Bacterial small subunit ribosomal RNA", at positions 1 to 507 of the family's 1533-position model. The record is from RNAcentral.
ACACUGUACGAGUUUGAUCCUGGCUCAGAACGAACGCUGGCGGUAUGCUUUACACAUGCAAGUCGAACGGGUAAGAGCCGUAGCAAUACGGAAUUCUGCUAGUGGCAAACGGGUGAGUAACGCGUGGGAAACUACCUUGUAGUACGGAAUAGCCCCGGGAAACUGGGAUUAAUACCGUAUACGCUCUUCGGAGGAAAGAUUUAUCGCUAUAAGAUGUGCCCGCGUUAGAUUAGCUAGUUGGUAGGGUAACGGCCUACCAAGGCGACGAUCAAUAGCUGGCGUGAGAGCGCGACCAGCCACACUGGAACUGAGACACGGUCCAGACUCCUACGGGAGGCAGCAGUAGGGAAUAUUGGACAAUGGGCGAAAGCCUGAUCCAGCCAUGCUGCGUGAUAGAUGAAGGCCCUCUGGGUUGUAAAUAUCUUUUAUCUGGGAAGAAACAAUCUUAUUCUUAAGAUCUUGACGGUACCAGAGGAAUAAGCACCGGCUAACUCCGUG